GAUGAACGCUGGCGGCGUGCCUAAUACAUGCAAGUCGAGCGAACAGACGAGGAGCUUGCUCCUCUGACGUUAGCGGCGGACGGGUGAGUAACACGUGGAUAACCAACCUAUAAGACUGGGAUAACUUCGGGAAACCGGAGCUAAUACCGGAUAAUAUAUUGAACCGCAUGGUUCAAUAGUGAAAGACGGUUUUGCUGUCACUUAUAGAUGGAUCCGCGCCGCAUUAGCUAGUUGGUAAGGUAACGGCUUACCAAGGCAACGAUGCGUAGCCGACCUGAGAGGGUGGUCGGCCACACUGGAACUGAGACACGGUCCAGACUCCUACGGGAGGCAGCAGUAGGGAAUCUUCCGCAAUGGGCGAAAGCUUGACGGAGCAACGCCGCGUGAGUGAUGAAGGUCUUCGGAUCGUAAAACUCUGUUAUUAGGGAAGAACAAAUGUGUAAGUAACUAUGCACGUCUUGACGGUACCUAAUCAGAAAGCCACGGCUAACUACGUG
Molecule: ribosomal RNA, 497 nt
Filed under: uncultured bacterium
Lineage: Bacteria
Description: partial 16S ribosomal RNA
Rfam family: Bacterial small subunit ribosomal RNA
Source: RNAcentral